AUGAAAGUUUAAUUCCAUAACAAUCCUUUUGUAAGCCCAUUUAUUUUCUCAAACCUUCCCAACCUUCAAUUGUGCCACGCGUCACUAGAGUUGUCGAUGGGGAAAACUUUGUUGAAGUUUGCAAGUCAAAAGGCAAGUCGAUUCUAUCGCUACAAAAAUUUUUAGAGUUUGCAUUUUUAUUCUAAAAUCCAUUUUACUUCACAUAUUUCUUUAGUUGUUCAGUUAUAUUGGCAAGCAAUUGCUUUUGACUUUCAGGUGCGAUUUAUUACUAUAUCGAGAAUGGCUUGAUUGGCGAAGGUGGAUUUGGUGGAGUAUUCAAGGGUGAUGCCAUAAAAAGAACUAGAAAAACAUCGAUAAUUCUCACACAAUGUCUCUGCUUCGAAAAACAAGCAUUUUUCUUGGCAUUAUUGGCCAUAUUGCCAUGCUUCUGAGAUGAAUUAAGAUUCCCAAAUCAUACUAGGUUGCCAGCCCUUACGUUGAUUUUUCAGAAAAACCAUCCUGUUUUUCAUUUACCAAGAGAUCGAUCUUUCAAUUUUUACAUUUGAGACAAAGGGAUUCAGAUUAGAACAGAAUUUUGCAACAUUGCAUGGGGAAAGACAUGAGGAGAUUCAAUAAAUAAAUGAGAGACCAUGCCCAUUGUUCUUUAUGGAUGACUCUGUCAUGGUAUCAAAAGUCAAAAACUGUUCAUCACCUGGACUAUUGGCAGCUGGAUGACUUAAAGAGAUAAGUAAAAUGUAAUGUGGUUAUGUUACUCGGAACUCUCAUGAUUAAAAACAUAUAUAUUAUGUUACACUAGUAAAAUAUUAAAAACAAACUUUUCCAAGCUUUCGGACGAACGCGUCCAUCAUCAGGGAAUAACUGUUGUAAACAAAUUCUAGCCUUAAAUACGGUCUACAAAUGUGCAUACAUUAAUAAUUAUACAAUAAUAAUUAAGCCUAAGGUUAAAACCUAUUAUAAGAGGAAGGGUACGAAAAGCCCAAUUAUAUAACACAGUACUCUCUGUUUAAAGAAUGACAAUAAUUCAUAGUUCUUACUUCUUUAAAAUCGGCUUAUAAACGUCAGGAAGUAUCCUACCAUUAUCUCUGUUCGAAAUACCGCUACCCGAUUGCUCAAUCAUACAUGCUUCUUUCCAUUUACGUUGCGCCCAUCUGCUCUCUUUACAUAAUAAUUUUGAAUCGUUCCAUGCUAUACCAUGUUCACAAUCAUACCCAUGCUUAGCCAAAGCUGACUUUUCAAUCUUCCCCAAACGGACUGCUGCCUUGUGUUCCUUCUCUCGCGUUCCAAAAGCUCGUCCUGUUUCACCAAUGUAUUCUACA
This is a long non-coding RNA of Dendronephthya gigantea, 1316 nucleotides long. RefSeq lists it as uncharacterized. The transcript is spliced from 3 exons. The record is from RefSeq and is a predicted model, not a curated record. Lineage: Eukaryota; Metazoa; Cnidaria; Anthozoa; Malacalcyonacea; Nephtheidae.